Molecule: ribosomal RNA, 504 nt
Filed under: uncultured eukaryote
Lineage: Eukaryota
Description: bacterial SSU rRNA
Rfam family: Eukaryotic small subunit ribosomal RNA
Source: RNAcentral
AUGGUCGCAAGUCUGAAACUUAAAGAAUUGACGGAAGGGCACACCAGGAGUGGAGCCUGCGGCUUAAUUUGACCCAACACGGGAAAACUUACCAGGUCCAGACAUGUGAAGGAUUGACAGAUUAAUAGCUCUUUCUUGAUUAUAUGGGUGGUGGUGCAUGGCCGUUCUUAGUUGGUGGAGUGAUUUGUCUGGUUAAUUCCGUUAAACGAACGAGACCUCAACCUAUUAAAUAGAUAAAAUAAAAUGAUUAAAAUUGAGUGGAAGAGGGUUGUGAUGAUAUUUAAGAUUGAUUUAGAAAUAAUUAAUAUUAAAUAUCCAUAACGUUUGAAUACUUUUAUUUUAUUUAGGGAAAAAUUAAAAUUAAAACUUUAAUUUUUUCAUUUUUUUAAACUUCUUAAAAGGGGACUAUUUUGUAUAAAAUAAGAAAUUAUUUUAUCUUUUGCGGAAAGCAAAUUGGAAGUUUGAGGCAAUAACAGGUCUGUGAUGCCCUUAGAUGUUCUGGGC